UGCAGUCGAACGGUGACCUCGAGAGCUUGCUCUUGGGUGAUCAGUGGCGAACGGGUGAGUAACACGUGAGUAACCUGCCCCAGACUCUGGAAUAACCCCGGGAAACCGGAGCUAAUACCGGAUACGAGACGGAGCCGCAUGGCUACCGUUUGGAAAGUUUUUCGGUCUGGGAUGGACUCGCGGCCUAUCAGCUAGUUGGUGAGGUAACGGCUCACCAAGGCGACGACGGGUAGCCGGCCUGAGAGGGCGACCGGCCACACUGGGACUGAGACACGGCCCAGACUCCUACGGGAGGCAGCAGUGGGGAAUAUUGCACAAUGGGCGAAAGCCUGAUGCAGCGACGCCGCGUGAGGGAUGAAGGCCUUCGGGUUGUAAACCUCUUUCAGCAGGGAAGAAGCGAAAGUGACGGUACCUGCAGAAGAAGCACCGGCUAACUACGUGCCAGCAGCCGCGGUAAUACGUAGGGUGCGAGCGUUGUCCGGAAUUAUUGGGCGUAAAGAGCUUGUAGGCGGUUUGUCGCGUCUGCCGUGAAAAUCCGGGGCUCAACCCCGGACUUGCGGUGGGUACGGGCAGACUAGAGUGUGGUAGGGGAGACUGGAAUUCCUGGUGUAGCGGUGAAAUGCGCAGAUAUCAGGAGGAACACCGAUGGCGAANGCAGGUCUCUGGGCCACUACUGACGCUGAGAAGCGAAAGCGUGGGGAGCGAACAGGAUUAGAUACCCUGGUAGUCCACGCCGUAAACGUUGGGAACUANGUGUGGGCCUCAUUCCACGANGUCUGUGCCGCANCUAACGCAUUAANUUNCCCGCCUGGGGAGUACGG
Molecule: ribosomal RNA, 821 nt
Filed under: Intrasporangiaceae bacterium URHD0013
Lineage: Bacteria; Bacillati; Actinomycetota; Actinomycetes; Micrococcales; Intrasporangiaceae
Description: bacterial SSU rRNA
Rfam family: Bacterial small subunit ribosomal RNA
Source: RNAcentral